Fukomys damarensis (Damara mole-rat) is the source of this 177-nucleotide RNA transcript. RefSeq lists it as uncharacterized. NCBI's taxonomy places the organism in Eukaryota, Metazoa, Chordata, Mammalia, Rodentia, Bathyergidae. The transcript has 3 exons. The record is from RefSeq and is a predicted model, not a curated record.
CGCUCAUGAACCUGUACUUCGCCCAGGUGAUUUUCAAAGCCAAGUCCAAAUACUCUCCAGAAUUACUCAAAUACCGGCUGCGGUGGGAACUGGUGGUAUGAGCGCACCUCCCCAGGAAGCGGGCAGAGGAGAGCCCAGGAUGCCUGCCGUGGCCGAAGAAGUGGAACCGGCGUCCUC